RNAcentral lists this ribosomal RNA (498 nucleotides) under uncultured bacterium. RNAcentral describes it as "partial 16S ribosomal RNA". It matches the Rfam family "Bacterial small subunit ribosomal RNA", at positions 28 to 507 of the family's 1533-position model. The record is from RNAcentral.
GACGAACGCUGGCGGCGUGCCUAAUACAUGCAAGUCGAACGAGAGCGCCCUGUUCUUGCACUGGUCAAUCUAGUGGCAAACGUGUGAGUAACACGUGUGUAACCUGCCCAUCAGAGGGGGAUAACAUCCGGAAACGGAUGCUAAAACCGCAUAGGUCUUCGAGCCGCAUGGCUUGAAGAGGAAAAGAGGCGCAAGCUUCUGCUGAUGGAUGGACUCGCGGUGCAUUAGCUGGUUGGUGAGGUAACGGCUCACCAAGGCAGUGAUGCAUAGCCGAACUGAGGGGGUGAUAGCCGACCUUGGGAGUGAGCCACGGACAAUGGUCCUACGGGAGGGAGCAGUAGGGAAUGUGACGCAAUGGACGAAAAUAUUGCGGAGCAACGCGGCGUGAGAGAAGAAGGCUUUCGGAGCGUAAUACUCUGUUGUUAGAGAAGAACAAGUGCUAGAGUAACUGUUAGCGCCUUGACGGUAUCUAACCAGAAAGCCACGGCUAACUACGUG